Molecule: ribosomal RNA, 1482 nt
Filed under: uncultured bacterium
Lineage: Bacteria
Description: bacterial SSU rRNA
Rfam family: Bacterial small subunit ribosomal RNA
Source: RNAcentral
AGAGUUUGAUCAUGGCUCAGGAUGAACGCUAGCGGCAGGCUUAACACAUGCAAGUCGAGGGGUAGGGUAGCAAUACCUGAGACCGGCGCACGGGUGCGUAACGCGUGUGCAAUCUACCUUUUACAGAGGGAUAGCCCAGAGAAAUUUGGAUUAAUACCUCAUAGUAUAUAUGAAUGGCAUCCUUUAUAUAUUAAAGUCUCAACGGUAAAAGAUGAGCAUGCGUCCCAUUAGCUAGAUGGUAAGGUAACGGCUUACCAUGGCAACGAUGGGUAGGGGUCCUGAGAGGGAGAUCCCCCACACUGGUACUGAGACACGGACCAGACUCCUACGGGAGGCAGCAGUGAGGAAUAUUGGUCAAUGGGCGCAAGCCUGAACCAGCCAUGCCGCGUGCAGGAAGAAGCAUCUAUGGUGUGUAAACUGCUUUUGUACAGGAAGAAACACUCCCUCGUGAGGGAGCUUGACGGUACUGUAAGAAUAAGGAUCGGCUAACUCCGUGCCAGCAGCCGCGGUAAUACGGAGGAUCCAAGCGUUAUCCGGAAUCAUUGGGUUUAAAGGGUCCGUAGGCGGUUAGAUAAGUCAGUGGUGAAAGCCCAUCGCUCAACGGUGGAACGGCCAUUGAUACUGUUUAACUUGAAUAAUUAGGAAGUAACUAGAAUAUGUAGUGUAGCGGUGAAAUGCUUAGAGAUUACAUGGAAUACCAAUUGCGAAGGCAGGUUACUACUAGUUUAUUGACGCUGAUGGACGAAAGCGUGGGUAGCGAACAGGAUUAGAUACCCUGGUAGUCCACGCCGUAAACGAUGGAUACUAGCUGUUGGGAGCAAUUUCAGUGGCUAAGCGAAAGUGAUAAGUAUCCCACCUGGGGAGUACGUUCGCAAGAAUGAAACUCAAAGGAACUGACGGGGGCCCGCACAAGCGGUGGAGCAUGUGGUUUAAUUCGAUGAUACGCGAGGAACCUUACCAAGGCUUAAAUGUAGUUUGACCGAUUAGGAAACUAGUCUUUCGCAAGACAAAUUACAAGGUGCUGCAUGGUUGUCGUCAGCUCGUGCCGUGAGGUGUCAGGUUAAGUCCUAUAACGAGCGCAACCCCUGUUGUUAGUUGCCAGCGAGUCAAGUCGGGAACUCUAGCAAGACUGCCAGUGCAAACUGUGAGGAAGGUGGGGAUGACGUCAAAUCAUCACGGCCCUUACGCCUUGGGCUACACACGUGCUACAAUGGACGGUACAGAGAGCAGCCACUGGGCGACCAGGUGCGAAUCUACAAAACCGUUCUCAGUUCGGAUCGGAGUCUGCAACUCGACUCCGUGAAGCUGGAAUCGCUAGUAAUCGGAUAUCAGCCAUGAUCCGGUGAAUACGUUCCCGGGCCUUGUACACACCGCCCGUCAAGCCAUGGAAGCUGGGGGUACCUGAAGUCGGUGACCGCAAGGAGCUGCCUAGGGUAAAACUGGUAACUAGGGCUAAGUCGUAACAAGGUAGCCAAGGGCGAA